AAAGAAACUAACCASGAUUCCCCUAGUAACGGCGAGUGAAGCGGGAAAAGCUCAAAUUUGUAAUCUGGCGCCUUUGGCGUCCGAGUUGUAAUCUCGAGAAGUAUUUUCCGCGCUGGACCGCACAUAAGUCUGUUGGAAUACAGCGUCAUAGUGGUGAGAACCCCGUAUAGGGUGCGGAUGCCCAGUGCUUUGUGAUCUACUUUCGAAGAGUCGAGUUGUUUGGGAAUGCAGCUCAAAUUGGGUGGUAAAUUCCAUCUAAAGCUAAAUAUUGGCGAGAGACCGAUAGCGAACAAGUACCGUGAGGGAAAGAUGAAAAGCACUUUGGAAAGAGAGUUAACAGUACGUGAAAUUGUUGGAAGGGAAACGCUUGAAGUCAGACUUGCAUUUUGGAGUUCAGCCGCAAGGUGUAUUCUUCAAUUCGCAGGCCAGCAUCAGUUUUUGGGGGUGGAAAAGCGUGGUUUGAAGGUAGCAGCUUCGGCUGCGUUAUAGCUUUCCACUGGAUUCACUUUUGGGGACUGAGGAACGCAGUACGCUUUUUGCAAGAUCUUCGGAUCUUUCGUACUUAGGAUGCUGGUGGAAUGGCUUUAAACGACCCGUCUUGAAACACGGACCAAGGAGUCUAACAUGUUUGCGAGUGUUUGGGUGUUAAACCCGGACGCGUAAUGAAAGUGAAUGGAGGUGGGAUCCGCAAGGUGCACCAUCGACCGAUCUGGAUUUUCUAAGAUGGAUUUGAGUAAGAGCAAUUAUGUUGGGACCCGAAAGAUGGUGAACUAUGCCUGAAUAGGGUGAAGCCAGAGGAAACUCUGGUGGAGGCUCGUAGCGGUUCUGACGUGCAAAUCGAUCGUCAAAUUUGGGUAUAGGGGCGAAAGACUAAUCGACCAUCUAGUACCUUUGAGAUACUGCCAAGUAGCACUGAGUUAAUAUUGACGG
Molecule: ribosomal RNA, 930 nt
Filed under: Microbotryum silenes-inflatae
Lineage: Eukaryota; Fungi; Basidiomycota; Microbotryomycetes; Microbotryales; Microbotryaceae
Description: LSU rRNA
Rfam family: Eukaryotic large subunit ribosomal RNA
Source: RNAcentral